AACGAACGCUGGCGGCAGGCUUAACACAUGCAAGUCGAACGCCCCGCCAGGGGAGUGGCAGACGGGUGAGUAACGCGUGGGAACAUACCCUUUUCUACGGAAUAGCUCUGGGAAACUGGAAUUAAUACCGUAUACGCCCUACGGGGGAAAGAUUUAUCGGGGAAGGAUUGGCCCGCGUUGGAUUAGCUAGUUGGUGGGGUAAAGGCCUACCAAGGCGACGAUCCAUAGCUGGUCUGAGAGGAUGAUCAGCCACAUUGGGACUGAGACACGGCCCAAACUCCUACGGGAGGCAGCAGUGGGGAAUAUUGGACAAUGGGCGCAAGCCUGAUCCAGCCAUGCCGCGUGAGUGAUGAAGGCCUUAGGGUUGUAAAGCUCUUUCACCGAUGAAGAUAAUGACGGUAGUCGGAGAAGAAGCCCCGGCUAACUUCG
RNAcentral lists this ribosomal RNA (429 nucleotides) under uncultured bacterium. RNAcentral's name for it is "partial 16S ribosomal RNA". It matches the Rfam family "Bacterial small subunit ribosomal RNA", at positions 29 to 505 of the family's 1533-position model. The record is from RNAcentral.